RNAcentral lists this ribosomal RNA (228 nucleotides) under Globodera pallida. RNAcentral describes it as "partial 16S ribosomal RNA". The record is from RNAcentral. Lineage: Eukaryota; Metazoa; Nematoda; Chromadorea; Rhabditida; Heteroderidae.
GUAACUUUUUUAUUUUGAAAAAUUUCUCUAGAGUUAACAGGAUCUUUUACAUCGAUGUUGUCUUUAAUUUAAGUUCUUGAAGAGAUUUAAGAGUUUGAAAAAGACUGUUCUUCUAUUAUUAUUAACGUGAGAUUAGUUUAGUUCGACGUGAGUUAGAAUUGUUUAUCUAGCUUAAUUUUAUUUGGGAAAAUUUGUACGAGAGGAUCGUUUUAUAUAUUUAAUUUCUUU